Long non-coding RNA from Silurus meridionalis, 547 nucleotides. RefSeq lists it as uncharacterized. The transcript has 3 exons. NCBI's taxonomy places the organism in Eukaryota, Metazoa, Chordata, Actinopteri, Siluriformes, Siluridae. The record is from RefSeq and is a predicted model, not a curated record.
UGUCAAGAAUCAGUGGAAAGGAUAUGGAGCAAAGGAUGUCUGUCAGAUUACAGUGGAAAGAGAAAACGAUUAGGCCUUCGACCUGUCUGCAACUUCUAUUACUACGGACACACUCCUACUACAGCUCAUUCAUUCACAAGCCCAGAACAGCAUGUGAGCAGGAGGACUGCAUGGGUGCGGAUUAAAAACCCUAUUAAUAAAUCAAUAAAGGCGGCAUCAGAACCAGGGGGGACGUGCACCGAGCACGGAUCUCUUACAUGUGACUCACGGUCUCGAAGGAAACAGAUGGCGAUCCUGGUUUGCUUCAGGCUCCGGAUUGUACAGCAAACAAAUCCAUAAACCACCCCCCUUCUCUCUCUCUCUCUCUCUCUCUCUCUCUCUCUCUCUCUCUCUCUCUCUCUCUCUCUCUCUUUCUCCCCCCUUGUGUCCCAGGCUCACUCUUUCCCUCCUCGCUGUCAUUUGCAUUUAAUUAUAGACAGCACCCUUGUAAUGCCCCAUAGGUUGUAUACAAACAUAUAUAAUGAAUAAAAAUGAAGAAGUGCUUGUC